This 85-nucleotide small RNA is filed under the name Sinorhizobium meliloti 2011. RNAcentral's name for it is "putative ncRNA". Lineage: Bacteria; Pseudomonadati; Pseudomonadota; Alphaproteobacteria; Hyphomicrobiales; Rhizobiaceae. The record is from RNAcentral.
GUAGUUGAGGAUCGCCAGAUCGGUCCCCGGUUUGAAGACGAUCGGAAUAUCCGCAAGAUCCAUGCUGCGGUGGGUGAAGGUCGAC